This 29-nucleotide non-coding RNA is filed under the name Mus musculus (house mouse). Lineage: Eukaryota; Metazoa; Chordata; Mammalia; Rodentia; Muridae. The record is from RNAcentral.
UCUCUGGUGAGAUUGAAUGACUGGUGAAU